UUAUGUCACGUUAAUUUAUAUAAGAUAAAUUUAUACAAAAAUUUAUAAUUAUACCAUUAUUCAAUAUAAUAUUCGGCCCAUUUGGAUAAGCCAAUUUGACAAUUAAGCAGUUGCCUAGUUGGUGCAGUGGCAGGUGGGCUGCCACUUGGGCUUUAAGGAGCUGGUGUGGUGCAUGCAUGUUCGUGCAUGUGGGCUCCACUUCUCUGACGUUGUGCCUGGCCAUGUCGUGCUCGAAAACUGCAUGCAAUUGACUUGAAGAAAAGCAAAGUAACCAAAUAUUAAUGACAUUGAAUUAUUUUAGGAUAACCCAGUUUGAUUUUGCUCUUGCUCUUGCCGUGAAAGGGGAACGAAUUAAUUUUUAUUGAAUGUGAAAGAUUUAGGAGACGAUCCCAUCAAGUCAUCAUGCCGGUAUGGUAAGUGGGAUUGUCUAAGUGACACUUGUAAUAUUUGUAAAAUUAUAAUGUAAUAUUAAAGAUAAAAUAACCAAUGUAUU
This 493-nucleotide long non-coding RNA is filed under the name Citrus x clementina. Its description in RNAcentral is "Citrus clementina (C. clementina) long non-coding RNA (CCLE_LNC000541)". Lineage: Eukaryota; Viridiplantae; Streptophyta; Magnoliopsida; Sapindales; Rutaceae. The record is from RNAcentral.